This is a transfer RNA of 72 nucleotides. It matches the Rfam family "tRNA". Rfam says of the family: Transfer RNA (tRNA) molecules are approximately 80 nucleotides in length. The record is from Rfam.
GCGCCGCUAGUGUAAUGGAUAGCACAUGAGAUUCCGGUUCUCAGAAUGAGGGUUCGACUCCCCCGUGGCGCA